Molecule: ribosomal RNA, 601 nt
Filed under: Klebsiella pneumoniae
Lineage: Bacteria; Pseudomonadati; Pseudomonadota; Gammaproteobacteria; Enterobacterales; Enterobacteriaceae
Also listed under: 1 other name
Description: partial 23S ribosomal RNA
Rfam family: Bacterial large subunit ribosomal RNA
Source: RNAcentral
UGUAGCAAGGUUAACCGUAUAGGGGAGCCGCAGGGAAACCGAGUCUUAACUGGGCGUUAAGUUGCAGGGUAUAGACCCGAAACCCGGUGAUCUAGCCAUGGGCAGGUUGAAGGUUGGGUAACACUAACUGGAGGACCGAACCGACUAAUGUUGAAAAAUUAGCGGAUGACUUGUGGCUGGGGGUGAAAGGCCAAUCAAACCGGGAGAUAGCUGGUUCUCCCCGAAAGCUAUUUAGGUAGCGCCUCGUGAAUUCAUCUUCGGGGGUAGAGCACUGUUUCGGCUAGGGGGUCAUCCCGACUUACCAACCCGAUGCAAACUACGAAUACCGAAGAAUGUUAUCACGGGAGACACACGGCGGGUGCUAACGUCCGUCGUGAAGAGGGAAACAACCCAGACCGCCAGCUAAGGUCCCAAAGUCAUGGUUAAGUGGGAAACGAUGUGGGAAGGCACAGACAGCCAGGAUGUUGGCUUAGAAGCAGCCAUCAUUUAAAGAAAGCGUAAUAGCUCACUGGUCGAGUCGGCCUGCGCGGAAGAUGUAACGGGGCUAAACCAUGCACCGAAGCUGCGGCAGCGACACUAUGUGUUGUUGGGUAGGGGAGCG